AUGUGCUGUAUUCAGACUGACAAGUAGGAAACGGAGGAGACUGCCUUAAUCCUCAAGAAAUUUUGUAUGACACGAUAAAAAAAAAAAGGUCUGAGGUCUCAGUUUACCUCACGAUGCCCAGGAGCAUGGUCUCCUCCUUGAUUUGUGGCUGCGGAGCACCAGACCUAAGCAUGUUUUGUCUCAAACAUUCUGAGUAUUGCUACAGGAAAGGUGAUUGGAGGAGAGGGUCCCAUGGAGAUGGCGCAGUGUGUUCUGAGCCAGCUCCCUGCUCCAUCAUGGGACUUGUGCUCAGUGCCCUCAUGCCGACUUACUGCCUGGAGGAGGCUCAAAGGGGCUGUGCGUGUGCGAACAAAACAGCUCGAAAAAUCUAGUUUUAUAUAAGAGGUGUGCACCAGGUUAUAACAGGGAGCAGAUCAGGCCCCCUCAGUCCUUUUCUUUCUCUCUCUCCCCUGCCACCACCCUAUUUCCUUCACUUUCUUUGUCUCACAACCCCAGCUCCGGAUCAUCCUCGUGGCAGGACCAACACAGUAUCUGAGGACUGGUAAUAUUCUUUGUUUUCUACCCUUGCUUUGCCUGAGCAAAGCAUGGCUAUCAUACUCUGCUCUGUACUGUGUCCUGAACUCUGUUGUGGAAGUGUGUUGUGGCUUGCUAACCAGCAACCUUGCGUAGUGGUAUUGUGGUCUGUGUGCCAGCACCUUUGAUUUUGUGUUAUGGCUUGUGAGCCAGCACCUUUGAGGAGUUUGCUGUGGGAGUUGAGAACUUAUUGAAGUGUACCGUACAAAUUUAAGGGCUUGUUAGCCAACACCUCUUGAGUCUAAGCAGUGGGCUGGUUGGUGGAGUUUAUGGUGGCUGUACAAUAAAAGCAUAAGAGUUCCCUGACAUGCAGGUAUCUUUGUUCAACCUGAUGAGAAUUUAUAACAACCAUCAUGGCCCCUACUGAUGAGUUGUGACAGUGACCAGUGCAUGUGCAGUGCCUGAGAGCAGCAUGGCAAAGGGCAGGGCCUCUUUCCCUGUAGAAAGAGCAGGUGAGGGUCAGAGGCACCAGUCAGGUGAGCAAGGCCUUCAGCAGUUAUUCCUGCCCACAGUGGCUGCUUGGAAGUGGAGGUGCAGGCUCGAGGGGGGUUCUUGGCCCAGCCCGCUCACUGCAGGAAGCUGAGAGCACAGGUCUGACUUUCCCAUCCCUUGUCCUGAUUUUAGGGCCCUGGUUCCUCCCAGCCCCAGCCAGUCUGUGCAGUUGGCCCUGAGGACAUGAACAGCCGGGAGGUGUGUGGUGGAAGGCAGGCCCUGGAGCAGGAUGUCAGUGUGGGACUCUGGUGACUGAGUGGUCCCUACCUGUGAGUGCUGGAUGAUGCCUUUUACUAUGUCAGUCAGCAAGCAACUAAUCACAAAUUACUGUCACAGUGGCAGAGGAGCUGAGAGACACUGGUGCUGAAGCAUAGUUUGGCGGUUGAAGCAGCAUCACAGGUCUGUAGGAUCAGCAGACAGACGCGAAGAACGAGCUCCGACUCACAACGUACCCACAGCAAAGUCCUGGCACUGCACUGUAGUUGAGGGAGGCUGUCUGGGUAGAAGGUGGUUGUGCCCUAGUUAGUAAUCAGACAGACUUGGUGGCAUUGUGGGUACUACUGGGUGAAGGGAGCUGGAAAUUGUGCCUGGAAGACUUAAAGUUUGGGCAUUAGGUAUGCGAUGUGCAGGCCUUGCAAUGGGAAUUUGCUUGAUGUGCCAAGUGGUUAAGUGUCUUGGACUACAGAUGCUCAGCAUGUGACUAAUAGCCUAAAAAACCCAAUCUGUUUUACAUAAUAAAAAGUAUUCUCUCA
Long non-coding RNA from Myiozetetes cayanensis, 1817 nucleotides. RefSeq lists it as uncharacterized. The transcript has 3 exons. The record is from RefSeq and is a predicted model, not a curated record. NCBI's taxonomy places the organism in Eukaryota, Metazoa, Chordata, Aves, Passeriformes, Tyrannidae.